AUGCAACCUACCCAUAACUGGGGGAUACCCCGGGGAAACUCGGAUUAAUACCCCAUAGUAUUAUCAGAUGGCAUCUGAAGAUAAUUAAAGAUUCAUUGGUUAUGGAUGGGCAUGCGUAUGAUUAGCUAGUUGGUGAGGUAAGAGCUCACCAAGGCGAUGAUCAUUAGGGGUCCUGAGAGGGCGAUCCCCCACACUGGUACUGAGACACGGACCAGACUCCUACGGGAGGCAGCAGUAGGGAAUAUUGGUCAAUGGGCGAAAGCCUGAACCAGCCAUGCCGCGUGCAGGAAGACAGCUUUCUGAGUUGUAAACUGCUUUUAUAUAGGAACAAAGGGGUCCUGCGGGGCAAGAUGCGUGUACUAUAUGAAUAAGCACCGGCUAACUCCGUGCCAGCAGCCGCGGUAAUACGGAGGGUCCCGAGCGUUGUCCGGAAUUAUUGGGUUUAAAGGGUACGUAGGCGGAAUAAUAAGUCAGAGGUGAAAUCCUGCAGCUCAACUGUAGAACUGCCCUUUGAAACUGUUAUUUCUUGAGUAUGGUAGGGGUAAGCGGAAUUUAUAAUGUAGCGGUGAAAUGCAUUAGAUAUUAUAAAGAACACCCGAUAGCGAAGGCAGCCUUUACCUGGACCCAUAACCUGACGCCUAAUGUAACGAAAGCGUGGGUAGCCGAACAGGGAUUAGAUACCCCU
Molecule: ribosomal RNA, 685 nt
Filed under: uncultured bacterium
Lineage: Bacteria
Description: bacterial SSU rRNA
Rfam family: Bacterial small subunit ribosomal RNA
Source: RNAcentral